RNAcentral lists this ribosomal RNA (373 nucleotides) under uncultured bacterium. RNAcentral describes it as "bacterial SSU rRNA". It matches the Rfam family "Bacterial small subunit ribosomal RNA", at positions 30 to 392 of the family's 1533-position model. The record is from RNAcentral.
AUUGAACGCUGGCGGCAUGGCUUAACACAUGCAAGUCGAACGGCAGCACGGUCUAGUUUACUAGAUGGGUGGCGAGUGGCGAACGGGUGAGUAACGCGUAGGAAUAUGCCUUAAAGUGGGGAGUAACAUGGGAAACUCAUGCUAAUACCGCAUAUGCUCUGAGGAGUAAAGCUGGGACCUUCGGGCCUGGCGCUUUAAGAUUAGCCUGCGUCCGAUUAGCGUAGUUGGUAGGGUAAAGGGCCUACCAAGGCGACGAUCGGUAGUUGGUCUGAGAGGAUGAUCAGCCACACUGGAACUGAGACAGCGGUCCAGACUCCUACGGGAGGCAGCAGUGGGGAACUAUUGGACAAUGGGGGCAACCCGUGAUCCGAGC